RNAcentral lists this ribosomal RNA (251 nucleotides) under uncultured prokaryote. RNAcentral's name for it is "partial 16S rRNA". It matches the Rfam family "Bacterial small subunit ribosomal RNA", at positions 525 to 775 of the family's 1533-position model. The record is from RNAcentral.
ACGUAGGGUGCGAGCGUUAAUCGGAAUUACUGGGCGUAAAGCGUGCGCAGGCGGUUUUGCAAGACAGAGGUGAAAUCCCCGGGCUUAACCUGGGAAUUGCAUUGGUGACUGCACGGCUAGAGUGUGGCAGAGGGGGAUAGAAUUCCACGUGUAGCAGUGAAAUGCGUAGAGAUGUGGAGGAAUACCGAUGGCGAAGGCAGCCCCCUGGGAUAACACUGACGCUCAUGCACGAAAGCGUUGUGAGCAAACAG